This 106-nucleotide non-coding RNA is filed under the name Flavobacteriaceae bacterium. RNAcentral's name for it is "6S RNA". It matches the Rfam family "6S-Flavo RNA". RNAcentral also lists the same sequence under 2 other names. The record is from RNAcentral. Lineage: Bacteria; Pseudomonadati; Bacteroidota; Flavobacteriia; Flavobacteriales; Flavobacteriaceae.
ACUCAACGCUAAUAAAUUAAAAAGAGUGAGUCUAGAUCCUAGAGCGUGCCUUUUUUUAAGGAUUAUCGAAUAUUUAGUUAGCUCUAAACUUGUAUAAAUGGAGUUU